RNAcentral lists this ribosomal RNA (447 nucleotides) under uncultured organism. Its description in RNAcentral is "partial 16S ribosomal RNA". It matches the Rfam family "Bacterial small subunit ribosomal RNA", at positions 333 to 797 of the family's 1533-position model. The record is from RNAcentral.
ACACUCCUACGGGAGGCAGCAGUGGGGAAUCUUGCGCAAUGGGCGAAAGCCUGACGCAGCCAUGCCGCGUGAAUGAUGAAGGUCUUAGGAUUGUAAAAUUCUUUCACCGGGGACGAUAAUGACGGUACCCGGAGAAGAAGCCCCGGCUAACUUCGUGCCAGCAGCCGCGGUAAUACGAAGGGGGCUAGCGUUGCUCGGAAUUACUGGGCGUAAAGGGAGCGUAGGCGGACAUUUAAGUCAGGGGUGAAAUCCCGGGGCUCAACCUCGGAAUUGCCUUUGAUACUGGGUGUCUUGAGUAUGAGAGAGGUGUGUGGAACUCCGAGUGUAGAGGUGAAAUUCGUAGAUAUUCGGAAGAACACCAGUGGCGAAGGCGACACACUGGCUCAUUACUGACGCUGAGGCUCGAAAGCGUGGGGAGCAAACAGGAUUAGAUACCCGUGUAGUCCC